CAUUCUAUCUUGUUUGGAUGGACUUCCAUCUCUUAAGUCUCUUUAUUUAAGGGAAAAUAAGUUCAGUACAUCUUCAUUAAACCAUGUUUUUGAAAGUGUGUCACGAAAGCUGCGUCGUAAUCUGGAGGUCCUUGACAUAAGUUGGAACCGUUUGACUAAUGAGAUCUUGCCAUCCCUUGAGGGAUUCACAUCUUUAAAGGAACUGGAUUUGAGUGGAACUGAAUUGGACUCGGAUCUUCACUUUGACGGUUUAUGCUCAACAUUGAGGAAUCUUGAGGUCCUUCGGUUGUCCUAUAACAACUUCGACCAAACUGAUAUUGGCUCUGCUCUCACUGGAUUCUCAUCCCUCAAGUCUUUAUAUUUAGAUAACAGUGCAUUCAGUUGGAGAUCGAUUUACAAUAUUUCAAAAUUGAGUUCUU
This 419-nucleotide small RNA is filed under the name Vigna angularis var. angularis. Its description in RNAcentral is "Non-protein coding transcript". The record is from RNAcentral. Lineage: Eukaryota; Viridiplantae; Streptophyta; Magnoliopsida; Fabales; Fabaceae.